UAUUGAAUAAAGCAUUGAAAAUUAUGUUAACUUCUGUUGAUCUAUUUUCAUGAGAUGCUCUGUUUUAUUUUUUUACAUUUAUAUUUAAGAUUUCGCAUGACAUCAUAUAAUGUCAUGAUAUUAUCAUCCAGUUCAAAUAAGGCAAAGCCCAGGCCAAUAUUGCAAAUGAAGAGAAACAUUCUUUAAUUUAUUUUCUUCUCUGUAUGCUUUCUCAAUACUGACUACUAGUUGUAAAGGACAUAACUUUAGUCCAGUAUUUCAGUGUGCAUGGAAGAAGAAAUAGAUGAUGGCGAUUCUGACCUGCAAAGUGUAUCUACAGACAUACAAGGUAAACUAAAACUAUUUUAUUAAAAAAAAUUGUCAGCUUUGUGCUAUGGUAUAAUGCAGAGACACGUUCUAGUGACAGAGUCGCUUUAAACAGUGUAUAUAACAAUGAAUGAUUUAAAAUGAUCUGUCUCCUAAACAGGGUGUGAGGCAGUUUUACAGCAUAUAUAAAUCGGUCUGGGCAUUGAAAUAGUAAAUGAAUGAAUACAUUAUUUAUAUUAAAUGAAUUAUUCAGUGUAAAACAUUGCAUGUUCAGAGCCAAACGUUUUUACUGGGGAGCAACCAUAUGAUUCCUAAACUUCUAAAGCAGGAAGGAUGCCUGUAGAGGAUUCUGCUCUCCCUGUCAGUUAGGGCUUCAGCACAUAUCUCUAUGCCCCCAAAAAAUAUUGGCAUGUUUAUUAUUAUUAAAAAUAUCCUUAUCAAUAGUGAUGUCUCGAACGGUUCGC
Non-coding RNA from Pelobates cultripes (western spadefoot toad), 770 nucleotides. Lineage: Eukaryota; Metazoa; Chordata; Amphibia; Anura; Pelobatidae. The record is from the annotation of a GenBank genome assembly.